RNAcentral lists this ribosomal RNA (468 nucleotides) under uncultured bacterium. RNAcentral describes it as "partial 16S ribosomal RNA". It matches the Rfam family "Bacterial small subunit ribosomal RNA", at positions 28 to 507 of the family's 1533-position model. The record is from RNAcentral.
GACGAACGCUGGCGGCGUGCUUAACACAUGCAAGUCGAACGGAAAGGCCCUGCUUUUGUGGGGUGCUCGAGUGGCGAACGGGUGAGUAACACGUGAGUAACCUGCCCUUGACUUUGGGAUAACUUCAGGAAACUGGGGCUACUACCGGAUAGGAGCUCCUGCUGCAUGGUGGGGGUUGGAAAGUUUCGGCGGUUGGGGAUGGACUCGCGGCUUAUCAGCUUGUUGGUGGGGUAGUGGCUUACCAAGGCUGUGACGGGUCGCCGGCCUGAGAGGGUGACCGGCCACAAUGGGACUGAGAGACGGCCCAGACUCCUACGGGAGGCAGCAGUGGGGAAUAUUGCACAAUGGGCGGAAGCCUGAUGCAGCAACGCCGCGUGCGGGAUGACGGCCUUCGGGUUGUAAACCGCUUUCGCCUGUGACGAAGCGUGAGUGACGGUAAUGGGUAAGGAAGCACCGGCUAACUACGUG